AUGAGUCCACCAUACCUUCCUAUAUGUGGUAUCUACCUGCCGUUCCAAGUAAAUUUGUAUGUGCCAAACUCUAAACCUUCAAAUGAAUUUCUGUUUUGUAUGCUCGAAUUGCUCAUGUAUCAACUAGGGUUGUCUGUAUCUUCCAUGCUAGGCGGGUUAUUCUCAAGAGGAGUGGACUCCGCUCCUCACUCACGAGAAAAUGGCUGGUCACAGGGAUGCCUAGUCCCAUGCUCAAAUCAAAUCAAAAUAAUUGCAAACAAAACUCCCCCAGGACUGUUGUUAGUUGGAGGCACCCGUUGUUUUGGACCAGCCAUGGAUUGA
Molecule: ribosomal RNA, 321 nt
Filed under: Triticum aestivum (bread wheat)
Lineage: Eukaryota; Viridiplantae; Streptophyta; Magnoliopsida; Poales; Poaceae
Description: partial small subunit ribosomal RNA
Source: RNAcentral